RNAcentral lists this ribosomal RNA (497 nucleotides) under uncultured bacterium. RNAcentral describes it as "partial 16S ribosomal RNA". It matches the Rfam family "Bacterial small subunit ribosomal RNA", at positions 28 to 507 of the family's 1533-position model. The record is from RNAcentral.
GAUGAACGCUGGCGGCGUGCCUAAUACAUGCAAGUCGAGCGAACAGACGAGGAGCUUGCUCCUCUGACGUUAGCGGCGGACGGGUGAGUGACACGUGGAUGACCUACCUAUAAGACUGGGAUAACUUCGGGAAACCGGAGCUAAUACCGGAUAAUAUAUUGAACCGCAUGGUUCAAUAGUGAAAGACGGUUUUGCUGUCACUUAUAGAUGGAUCCGCGCCGCAUUAGCUAGUUGGUAAGGUAACGGCUUACCAAGGCAACGAUGCGUAGCCGACCUGAGAGGGUGAUCGGCCACACUGGAACUGAGACACGGUCCAGACUCCUACGGGAGGCAGCAGUAGGGAAUCUUCCGCAAUGGGCGAAAGCCUGACGGAGCAACGCCGCGUGAGUGAUGAAGGUCUUCGGAUCGUAAAACUCUGUUAUUAGGGAAGAACAAAUGUGUAAGUAACUAUGCACGUCUUGACGGUACCUAAUCAGAAAGCCACGGCUAACUACGUG